RNAcentral lists this ribosomal RNA (255 nucleotides) under uncultured bacterium. Its description in RNAcentral is "partial 16S ribosomal RNA". It matches the Rfam family "Bacterial small subunit ribosomal RNA", at positions 524 to 776 of the family's 1533-position model. The record is from RNAcentral.
UACGUAGGGUGCAAGCGUUGUCCGGAAUUAUUGGGCGUAAAGAGCUCGUAGGCGGUUUGUCGCGUCUGCUGUGAAAACCCGAGGCUCAACCUCGGGCCUGCAGUGGGUACGGACGCAGACUAGAGUGCGGUAGGGGAGAUUGGAAUUCCUGGUGUAGCGGUGGAAUGCGCAGAUAUCAGGAGGAACACCAAUGGCGAAGGCAGAUCUCUGGGCCGUAACUGACGCUGAGGAGCGAAAGCGUGGGGAGCGAACAGG